This 253-nucleotide ribosomal RNA is filed under the name uncultured bacterium. RNAcentral describes it as "partial 16S ribosomal RNA". It matches the Rfam family "Bacterial small subunit ribosomal RNA", at positions 524 to 776 of the family's 1533-position model. The record is from RNAcentral.
UACGAGGGGUCCAAGCGUUGCUCGGAAUCAUUGGGCGUAAAGCGAGUGUAGGUGGCUUUGUAAGUCAGGAGUGAAAGCCCUGGGCCUAACCCAGGAAGUGCUUUUGAUACUGCAAAGCUUGAAUGUGGGAGAGGAUCGUGGAAUUCCAGGUGCAGUGGUGAAAUACGUAGAUAUCUGGAGGAACACCGGUGGCGAAGGCGGCGAUCUGGCCCAACAUUGACACUGAGACUCGAAAGUGCGGGGAUCAAACAGG